GGGCAAGUAGCUCAGAUGGACAGAGCCACGCACUUCUAAUGCGUUGGUCGGGGGUUCGAGUCCCUCCUUGCCUG
RNAcentral lists this transfer RNA (74 nucleotides) under Synechococcus phage S-SKS1. It matches the Rfam family "tRNA". Rfam says of the family: Transfer RNA (tRNA) molecules are approximately 80 nucleotides in length. Their secondary structure includes four short double-helical elements and three loops (D, anti-codon, and T loops). Lineage: Duplodnaviria; Heunggongvirae; Uroviricota; Caudoviricetes. The record is from Rfam by way of RNAcentral.